This is a long non-coding RNA of Anastrepha ludens (Mexican fruit fly), 722 nucleotides long. RefSeq lists it as uncharacterized. Lineage: Eukaryota; Metazoa; Arthropoda; Insecta; Diptera; Tephritidae. The record is from RefSeq and is a predicted model, not a curated record. The transcript has 3 exons.
UCGUUGAACGUUGCAAAACAGCUUUUAUCCAAAUGUGUUAACUAUGCAUAUUUACUAGGGAAAGAAUAAUGAAAUAAAGAAAACUGAUAAUAGUGAGAAUUUAAAACUUUCUCAAAGCGCAAAAAAAAAACAAAACAAUUUGAGAACAUAAGAAAUAGUAGGCAAUCAACAUCCGCUGCAUCUUUUGCACAAGCAUUCACACAUACACACACGCAUGCAUUUACCAUAAGUAGUAAUCCAUGUAUUUAUGGCGCAGCUAACCUUUGGCAGUAUAGCUAUGGGAAAGUAAACAUUAAAGAAAAGCGGUAGUGUCUACUAGGCCCCCGAACGCUUACUAACUUUAAUGUUGAAGCAAACUAUUAUCGGCAAUGCCUGUCAGCUCAUAAACCAGCAAAGCAGUUAACCUAAAAAUGUAUUUACAAACGACUCUCAAACAAUGAAACGCCACCCCACCAAUGAGAAGAGCACAAAUAAUGCACUUGUUUCACACAUUACUUAUACAAGAACAAAGGGUUAGCUGACCUGCCGUGACUACCUGUGCGUGCAGAGAAACAAUUACACACACGCUGACCAUCGGCACUCAUUGAACGACCGGCUGUUGAGACCUAUGAAUGUAGUGAUGCUCAUGUCGUAUUCACAACAACGACGCGAUUUUAUACAUGGAUGGGCAAAUGAAACCACAGCCACAAACAACUUGGAGUUUAAUGUGUAAAUAGCGGGUG